AAAUUAACAAAUAUACCACUGACAGAUAGAUGAAGUGA
RNAcentral lists this non-coding RNA (38 nucleotides) under Trypanosoma brucei brucei. Lineage: Eukaryota; Euglenozoa; Kinetoplastea; Trypanosomatida; Trypanosomatidae. The record is from RNAcentral.